CUGCCUUACAGAGGGGGAUAACAGUGCGAAAGCACUGCUAAUACCGCAUGAAAUUGCGAUACCGCAUGGUAAUGCAAUCAAAGGAGAAAUCCGCACUAAGAUGGGCCCGCGGCUGAUUAGCUAGUUGGUGAGGUAAGGGCUCACCAAGGCGACGAUCAGUAGCCGACCUGAGAGGGUGACCGGCCACACUGGAACUGAGACACGGUCCAGACUCCUACGGGAGGCAGCAGUGGGGAAUAUUGCGCAAUGGGGGAAACCCUGACGCAGCAACGCCGCGUGGAGGAUGAAGGUCUUCGGAUUGUAAACUCCUGUCUUCUGGGAAGAAUGCUUGACGGUACCAGAGGAGGAAGCCACGGCUAACUACGUGCCAGCAGCCGCGGUAAUACGUAGGUGGCGAGCGUUGUCCGGAAUUACUGGGCGUAAAGGGCGCGUAGGCGGCCUUCUAAGUCAGAUGUGAAAUCCCUGGGCUUAACCCGGGUAGUGCAUUUGAAACUGGAAGGCUUGAGUGCAGGAGAGGUAAGUGGAAUUCCUAGUGUAGCGGUGAAAUGCGUAGAUAUUAGGAGGAACACCAGUGGCGAAGGCGACUUACUGGACUGUAACUGACGCUGAGGCGCGAAAGCGUGGGGAGCAAACAGGAUUAGAUACCCUGGUAGUCCACGCUGUAAACGAUGGAUACUAGGUGUGGGAGGUAUCGACCCCUUCCGUGCCGCAGUAAACGCAAUAAGUAUCCCGCCUGGGGAGUACGGCCGCAAGGUUGAAACUCAAAGGAAUUGACGGGGGCCCGCACAAGCAGCGGAGCAUGUGGUUUAAUUCGAAGCAACGCGAAGAACCUUACCAGGACUUGACAUCCUCUGAAUUACUCGUAACUGAGGAAACCCUUCGGGGCAGAGAGACAGGUGGUGCAUGGUUGUCGUCAGCUCGUGUCGUGAGAUGUUGGGUUAAGUCCCGCAACGAGCGCAACCCUUAUCAUUAGUUGCUAACAGUAAGAUGAGCACUCUAAUGAGACUGCCGGGGACAACUCGGAGGAAGGUGGGGAUGACGUCAAAUCAUCAUGCCCCUUAUGUUCUGGGCUACACACGUGCUACAAUGGGUAAAACAACGGGAAGCAAGCUAGUGAUAGCAAGCAAAUCCCUAAAAGCCGCUCUCAGUUCGGAUUGUAGGCUGCAACUCGCCUACAUGAAGUUGGAGUUGCUAGUAAUCGCGAAUCAGCAUGUCGCGGUG
Molecule: ribosomal RNA, 1221 nt
Filed under: uncultured bacterium
Lineage: Bacteria
Description: bacterial SSU rRNA
Rfam family: Bacterial small subunit ribosomal RNA
Source: RNAcentral